CCUACGGGUGGCAGCAGUGAGGAAUAUUGGUCAAUGGACGAGAGUCUGAACCAGCCAAGUAGCGUGAAGGAUGACUGCCCUAUGGGUUGUAAACUUCUUUUAUAUGGGAAUAAAAUGUUCCACGUGUGGGAUUUUGUAUGUACCAUAUGAAUAAGGAUCGGCUAACUCCGUGCCAGCAGCCGCGGUAAUACGGAGGAUCCGAGCGUUAUCCGGAUUUAUUGGGUUUAACGGGAGCGUAGGUGGAUUGUUAAGUCAGUUGUGAAAGUUUGCGGUCAACCGGAAAAUUGCAGUUGAAACUGGCAGUCUUGAGUACAGUAGAGGUGGGCGGAAUUCGUGGUGUAGCGGUGAAAUGCUUAGAUAUCACGAAGAACUCCGAUUGCGAAGGCAGUUCACUGGACUGCAACUGACACUGAGGCUCGAAAGUGUGGGUAUCAAACAGGAUUAGAUACCCCUGUAGUC
Molecule: ribosomal RNA, 459 nt
Filed under: uncultured bacterium
Lineage: Bacteria
Description: partial 16S ribosomal RNA
Rfam family: Bacterial small subunit ribosomal RNA
Source: RNAcentral